GUUUCAUACAUGCAUUGGUUCGAUGGUUGCCUCCUCGGUCGCGGGGGGCUGUGGUUGGCCGGCGUGGUGGUUGUUCUGCUACGUCUGCCGUGGUGUCCGCUCGGGGCGUAUGUAUGGAGCAUGCUCCGCCGUCUGAUGAUCGGCCGUUGUGUAGGGGUGGCCGCUCUGUACGGUCUUCGAGCUCUCCAUGCAUGUGGCCGCUUUGUACAGCCUUCCGGUUCUGGAUGCGCUGCGGAUUUUGUGGCGCGAUCUGGGUCUUGUUCUCUGUCGUCGGACUCUGCUGUUGGUGGUUCUGGUGGGCAGCGGAGGGAGGAGAUUCGGUUGGGAAAGCAGGCCUGUUGAUCCCACUCUCAAUCGACGACGAACAGCAGAGAAGCAAACCGGCGAAGCGAGCAGCACAUUGGGGGGAGGUGGUCACCUGCAAGUCAACCGCGCGACGGGUGAGCAGAGCGGCUGGCACCCGCGCCAGGGGAAAAGGAGGGGGCCGGAACCCUUGGCUGUGCGCCCUGGCCAUCAACGGCGACGAAUGGUGACGGGGUGGAUGUAGAUCACGAGGGAGCGGGAGCAAAUCGGUGAUGGAAAGCAUGAGCACGGAAACGCAAAUCACACGGCCAAGCAAAACACACGAGGAUGGCUAGCUGCUACCAGCCACGGGAUGAGAGCAAUGGGUUUGAGAGAUGCAGCAUACUCAAGGCCGACAAGGGAUUUUCACGAAAGGCGUAUGUGUUCAUUUUAAUCCAUGUUUUGCAUCAGGGUCUUCAGAAUGUAGGCAAGAUUUUAGAGAAGUUGUUUUUGUAGGCAACACAAAGAGAUAUAAGUAGGCAAAAAUCCCACAGAAUAAUUCAGCAUCUGUGUGUUUCAGUAGGUGCAAUAUGAUUUUUGCAUUUUGAUUUAUGUUCAGUAGGAAAUUUUUUGAUGAUUGUUGUUGGAUGGUACUUUGAUAUGUGUGGUGCGUUCUAUUUUUGCAAGUGUUCCUUUUUGCGAGCAGGAUCAGGCUGUGCAGCAUACUGUUGUUGCUACUGCAGGUUGCUUGCACGUUUUGAAUUCUGGUAUUUACUCGCUCCUUGCCAUGUGUAUGCAUGGUAUGUACGUGGGUUGAAGUAGGUAAUCAUUACAUUGGUCGACAGCGGGCAAAUUAAAUUACACGUACUAAAUUACAACGUGGUCAUGGUUUAGUCGGAGGGAGUGCACUGCUUUGAUUUGUGCGGGUGUUGCCAGCCGUGCGCGUGUGGUUGCUUGCAUGACCAUGCAGUGGCUGUGUAAUUCUUAGGGGUACUUCAGGUUGUACACGCGUGCUUGCCAGCAUGGCCAUGCACGUGCCUGUGCAAUUGUUAGGUGCACUCCAGGUUGUACGCACGAGCUUGCGUGCAUGGGUCAUGCACGUGGCCAUGUAAUCGUUAGGUGCACUCCAGGUUGUACACUGUGCGUGCUUCCUGUUAGAAGAUGACUGUCUCUAUUAUUUGGGAUUCAGUAGCUAAAAUUGUUGGCGACUAUAUUUAAACUAGACUUUAGCUAGCCCUUCAUCUAUUGAGUGUUGGAGCGGUGAAUCAAAGCAAGUUAAUUAGUCUACUCUAGAUGUGCGAAAGAAUCAGAAUGACUUUGUGAAGCAGAAAUAUGCACUUCAAAGUGAAAGGAGAAUCAACCCUAUUCAUAUACUUCAGAGUCGUUCCGUAAUUUUGUUUUCUGCGUACUAUAUGGCCUGGCUGUGGUGCGCAAUAU
Long non-coding RNA from Triticum dicoccoides, 1719 nucleotides. RefSeq lists it as uncharacterized. Lineage: Eukaryota; Viridiplantae; Streptophyta; Magnoliopsida; Poales; Poaceae. The transcript has 3 exons. The record is from RefSeq and is a predicted model, not a curated record.